Non-coding RNA from Saimiri boliviensis boliviensis (Bolivian squirrel monkey), 353 nucleotides. The record is from RefSeq and is a predicted model, not a curated record. Lineage: Eukaryota; Metazoa; Chordata; Mammalia; Primates; Cebidae.
CAUGCGCCGCGCGUGGACGUUGGCCUCAGAGUUCCUUUGGCGGCGUUACGGGCUGCGUCGCGGAGGACAAUGAAAGAGGCUUUAAGGGAACUGGACAGGAAGGAUUUUGCGUGGGGCGCGCUCCUCUAUCUUGAUGGUUUUAAAACAAUUUAAAUUCUGAGACUACUUCUUCAUUUCAGUUUCUGUGUACUCUUUUUAAAAGGAAGAGGGGAUACAGACACAGAUGUGUGCACAGAGAAGGAAGACCAUAUAAAAACAGAGACAAGACAACCAUCUACAAGUUAAGUAGAGAGUCCUCAGAAGGAGCAGUCCUGCCAACAUCUUGAUCUUGGACUUCGAGCCUCCAGAACUGU